GAUUGAACGCUAGGCGGCGUGCCUAACACAUGCAAGUCGAGCGAUUCUCUUCGGAGAAGAGCGGCGGACGGGUGAGUAACGCGUGGGUAACCUGCCCUGUACACACGGAUAACAUACCGAAAGGUAUGCUAAUACGAGAUAAUAUACUUUUAUCGCACGGUAGAAGUAUCAAAGUUUUUGCGGUACAGGAUGGACCCGCGUCUGAUUAGCUAGUUGGUAAGGUAACGGCUUACCAAGGCGACGAUCAGUAGCCGACCUGAGAGGGUGAUCGGCCACAUUGGAACUGAGACACGGUCCAAACUCCUACGGGAGGCAGCAGUGGGGAAUAUUGCACAAUGGGCGAAAGCCUGAUGCAGCAACGCCGCGUGAGCGAUGAAGGCCUUCGGGUCGUAAAGCUCUGUCCUCAAGGAAGAUAAUGACGGUACUUGAGGAGGAAGCCCCGGCUAACUACGUG
This 454-nucleotide ribosomal RNA is filed under the name uncultured bacterium. RNAcentral describes it as "bacterial SSU rRNA". It matches the Rfam family "Bacterial small subunit ribosomal RNA", at positions 27 to 507 of the family's 1533-position model. The record is from RNAcentral.